GAUGAACGCUGGCGGCGUGCUUAACACAUGCAAGUCGAACGGUGAAGGCGGAGCUUGCUCUGCUGGAUCAGUGGCGAACGGGUGAGUAACACGUGAGCAAUCUGCCCCUGACUCUGGGAUAAGCGCUGGAAACGGCGUCUAAUACUGGAUACGAGCUGCGAAGGCAUCUUCAGCAGCUGGAAAGAAUUUCGGUCAGGGAUGAGCUCGCGGCCUAUCAGCUUGUUGGUGAGGUAAUGGCUCACCAAGGCGUCGACGGGUAGCCGGCCUGAGAGGGUGACCGGCCACACUGGGACUGAGACACGGCCCAGACUCCUACGGGAGGCAGCAGUGGGGAAUAUUGCACAAUGGGCGAAAGCCUGAUGCAGCAACGCCGCGUGAGGGACGACGGCCUUCGGGUUGUAAACCUCUUCUAGCAGGGAAGAAGCGAAAGUGACGGUACCUGCAGAAAAAGCGCCGGCUAACUACGUG
RNAcentral lists this ribosomal RNA (468 nucleotides) under uncultured bacterium. Its description in RNAcentral is "partial 16S ribosomal RNA". It matches the Rfam family "Bacterial small subunit ribosomal RNA", at positions 28 to 507 of the family's 1533-position model. The record is from RNAcentral.